Molecule: non-coding RNA, 1107 nt
Organism: Mus caroli (Ryukyu mouse)
Lineage: Eukaryota; Metazoa; Chordata; Mammalia; Rodentia; Muridae
Source: RefSeq, a predicted model, not a curated record
AACUCCAGCAAGCACAAUGGAAGGGGCCCAUCAAAGACAGUGAUUGCAUUGUGGAUCCUGUGAGGAUGUGAGCAAUGGGACUGGUCUCAGGCACAUUCCCGGGCUGCAUCAGCAGGUAACACCCCAGAUCUUACAUAGACAACAGACAAAAUGUAUGGGUGGAUGGAGACACAGGCGACUGAGUGUAAGAACAGCCCACAUCACAGUGACUGGGAAUCGGUAAUUACUCUCCUACUACCCGGAUGUAAGCAAGCCAGUGCAAACACAAUGGCUUCAGGAUGACCUUCUCUCACCAGUUCUAAGACACUGUGACUAACUCAGCAUGGCUCCGCUCAGCUCUUUCUUGCUUCUCUUUCCUUACCCCUGCUUUCUCUUUCCUUUCCCCUGCUGGCUGCAUCUUGCAAGAGCAUUCAGGAGGCAGUCUUAGAACCGGGUCUUGAUUUGUUAAACAACCACCUCCCUAAGCACACCGAGGGUCUUCUGUUCGUGGAAAGUGGCUCUAACACUUUCUGUACUCUAUGUGCUCAAAGUUACCAAACACUCAAAGUUUCAAAACAUGCUAAUCUGGGCUGCUGAGUUGGCUUAGUGGGUAAAAGUGCUUGUGGGAGAGACUGACAAGCUGAGUUUGCUUCCUGAGACCAGAUUCAUAGUGUCCUCUGACCUCCAUAAAUGCACUGUGGUAUACCACAGUGUGCAUGCACAUAUUCACAGUAGAGUACUGGCCCCAGUGAACGAUGACAGAUCACAUGAAUAGCAGAAGUUGGACACUUAGAAAGCCCGUGAAGCUCACACCAAGUGGCCUAGCACCAUCAGGACUCAGUCAUAAGUGCUAGAGCCCCAAUUUUCUGUCUGAACCCUUGCAUAGUUCUUGUAAACACCCUCUGUUCUUUUGCCUGCUUUGGGAGUCUUUGCUCAUUGCUGCUGCUGGUGCUGAAUGCCUUGCAGAGGCGAGUUCUGAAUAAAUACCCUCUGCUUGCUUUUCUUUGUCCGUCCUAGCAAAAGACUCACUGAGCUGAACAUUUAAGAAUUGUGUUCUUUAUACUGAUUGUUCUGUAUAUCUUAUUGAUUAGAUAAUCUUAAAUAAAGAGAAAAUAACAGUCAAGACCA